Molecule: ribosomal RNA, 331 nt
Filed under: uncultured eukaryote
Lineage: Eukaryota
Description: partial 18S ribosomal RNA
Rfam family: Eukaryotic small subunit ribosomal RNA
Source: RNAcentral
CCCUUAGAUGUUCUGGGCUGCACGCGCGCUACACUGAUGCGUUCAACGAGUUUAUGACCUUGCCCGAUAGGGUUGGGUAAUCUUUUUAAAUCGCAUCGUGAUGGGGAUAGAUUAUUGCAAUUAUUAAUCUUCAACGAGGAAUUCCUAGUAAGCGCGAGUCAUCAGCUCGUGCUGAUUACGUCCCUGCCCUUUGUACACACCGCCCGUCGCUCCUACCGAUUGAAUGAUUUAGUGAGGACUUCGGACUGGGACCGAUGCGGCUUUCGGGCUGCGUCGGUAUUCUGGAAAGAUGUCCAAACUGUAUCAUUUAGAGGAAGUAAAAGUCGUAACA